GACGAACGCUGGCGGCGUGCUUAACACAUGCAAGUCGAACGGAAAGGCCUUUUCGGAGGUACUCGAGUGGCGAACGGGUGAGUAACACGUGGGUGAUCUGCCCUGCACUCUGGGAUAAGCCUGGGAAACUGGGUCUAAUACCGGAUAGGACCGCACUUUAGUGUGUGUGGUGGAAAGUUUUUUCGGUGUAGGAUGAGCCCGCGGCCUAUCAGCUUGUUGGUGGGGUAAUGGCCUACCAAGGCGGCGACGGGUAGCCGGACUGAGAGGUUGGUCGGCCACAUUGGGACUGAGAUACGGCCCAGACUCCUACGGGAGGCAGCAGUGGGGAAUAUUGCACAAUGGGCGCAAGCCUGAUGCAGCGACGCCGCGUGGGGGAUGACGGCCUUCGGGUUGUAAACUCCUUUCGCCAGGGACGAAGCGUUUUGUGACGGUACCUGGAGAAGAAUCACCGGCUAACUACGUG
This 463-nucleotide ribosomal RNA is filed under the name uncultured bacterium. RNAcentral describes it as "partial 16S ribosomal RNA". It matches the Rfam family "Bacterial small subunit ribosomal RNA", at positions 28 to 507 of the family's 1533-position model. The record is from RNAcentral.